GUGGCUAACCUACCCCGGGGACGGGCAUAGCCUUCCUAACGGAAGGGUAAUUCCCGGCGAUGUGAUGAGGGGGCAUCUCCUUAUCAUGAAACGAGUUUCGCCUCGGGAGGGGGUCACGUGCUAUUACCUAGUUGGCGGGGUAACGGCCCACCAAGGGAAAGAUGGCUAGCGGGUGUGAGAGCACGACCCGCGCCACUGGCACUGAGACACUGGCCAGACUCCUACGGGAGGCUGCAGUCGAGGAUCUUCGGCAAUGGGCGCAAGCCUGACCGAGCGACGCCGCGUGUGCGACGAAGGCCUUCGGGUUGUAAAGCACUGUCGAGGGGGAGGAACGCCCGCAAGGGUCUGACCUAUCCCUGGAGGAAGCACGGGCUAAGUUCGUGCCAGCAGCCGCGGUAAGACGAACCGUGCGAACGUUGUUCGGAUUCACUGGGCUUAAAGGGCGCGUAGGCGGCUUGCCAAGUCAGGGGUGAAAUCCUUCGGCUCAACCGGAGAAGUGCUUCUGAUACUGGCGGGCUG
This 519-nucleotide ribosomal RNA is filed under the name uncultured Planctomycetota bacterium. RNAcentral describes it as "bacterial SSU rRNA". It matches the Rfam family "Bacterial small subunit ribosomal RNA", at positions 117 to 643 of the family's 1533-position model. The record is from RNAcentral. Lineage: Bacteria; Pseudomonadati; Planctomycetota.